GCAGCCCGGGUUAAAAGACGAAGCAAAUCCUGCGUGGUGCUUCCUAGGACCGGGGGGGUAGCUGCUGCUGGCUGUGAGUGCCCUUGCAGUUCAGCUGGAACCAGGACAUGUUGGUUCCCUUGCUGGUUCCAUUGCUGCACUGUUAGAUUCUCCCUCUUCAAGUCAAGGGGAGAGCUUCUCACCAGCUGCUCAGCCUCAUCUACCGCAGCCACCAAGGUCUUGGGGACAUCGAAUGACACGUCCAUUGUCCACUACAGGGUGGCCUCAAUGGCCCUGAGCUGGCAGUGCAGCUCCCAGGAGAACACAGUGGCUUUGUGACAUGCAGCCACCAAGUCCCCCAGGGCCUCCUCCACCUGCUGUUUCCUCUUGGUGGCUGCCAUCCCUCGGAUGGUGAACACCACGGCCUCUCUCCUGGCCAUGGUGGCCAUCUGUUGCCAUCUUACUGCAAAGGUUUUGUACCUUCUUGGUGAUCCCUCAUGGGCAGCUCCUCACAGCACUGACUCCUUCUUCUCAGUACAGCCAACAAGCUCCAUCUAACUUCUCGAGCAGCCAAUCUACUCUUUUACAAUUCCUAUCCUAAUUGGAUCUAGCUGUGGCCUAUUAAGGGCAGGCCUGUUCCUAAUGCUUGAUAAUUAGCACAGCUGUAACUUCUUAGGGGUGAGAUUACCUUCAUCACUAUCUCUAUUUUCCUACAUUCCACCCAUCCACAGCCACCAGCUCCUUGUUGCUGGCCGCCACCACCCAGGCCUUGAGAGCAGCCAUUGCCUCUAUUUCCAGGGCCAGUAUUGUGGACGGGACAUGCCUUGGCUUGUCUCACCCCUGCUGCUGACCCAAAUAGCAGCAAGUGUCACAGGUGUUUCACCCUGGAGAUGCUUUUGGCUAGAUGGAUGUUGCAGCUGGGCGCGUGGGGACAAGCCCAGACGUGCCAGGGCAUAGAAAAUAUGACUGGUCCUUUAAUUCUCGUGAUGUGGGUCCAACCCUUUUCUCUGGUCCACACAGCCGAAUUAGCAAUGAGGAGUACCUGAAAGGGGUCUUCAAAUUCAGGCAUUAAUGGUCUAUAAUUCCAGGAUUUUAUUAAAACCCAAUCUCCUGGGUUAAUGUUAUGUACUUUUGUGUCAAGAGGGGAGGUUUGGGGGACAUAUCCUCUUUUUCUAAGUUCUUCCAGGGUUCUUCCAAUGACUUCUAAAUAUUUUCUGGUAGCUUCUUCUCCUUCCAGAUAGUCUCCUAUGCUAUAGGGUGUUAACGAGAAUGGCAGUCCAAACAUCAUUUCAUAGGGUGAAAUCCCUAUAUCAUACCAGGGUCUUGUUCUGAUGUGCAAAAGCGCUAGGGGCAAACACUUUAGCCAAUUCAUUUUUGUUUCUUCAAUCCAUUUAGUCAAUACAUUUUUGAGAGUUUUGCUCAUCUGCUCCACCCUCCCAGAACUCUGGGGAUGCCACGGAGUAUGUAAUGUCCAUUUUAUUCUAAAGCUUCGAUUAUAUUUUGGGCCACAAAAUGUGGACCUCGGUCUGAGUCUAUGGUGCUCACCAUUCCAUAUCUGGAGGUAAUAUUCUCCAAGAUUACUCUUGCCACGACCUGGGCUGUUUCCCUUUUAGUUGGGAAGGCUUCCACCUAAUGUGCCCGGUCUCUCUGCAAUAACAGCAGCGCGUUUCUCUCAAAGGGACUUGAGGUCUCUCCAUUCCUCCUGUACUUGGUGGUGCUGGCCUAUCCUUGCCUGUGUCUGGUAGUGGACCUCCCCACUCUUUUGUUACCUUGGAUUGUGGGAUAGAGUUUCUUUCCUCCACACUUUCUCUAGCU
Passer domesticus (house sparrow) is the source of this 1794-nucleotide long non-coding RNA. RefSeq lists it as uncharacterized. The record is from RefSeq and is a predicted model, not a curated record. The transcript is spliced from 3 exons. NCBI's taxonomy places the organism in Eukaryota, Metazoa, Chordata, Aves, Passeriformes, Passeridae.